CUCCUACGGGAGGCAGCAGUGGGGAAUAUUGGGCAAUGGGCGCAAGCCUGACCCAGCAACGCCGCGUGAAGGAAGAAGGCUUUCGGGUUGUAAACUUCUUUUGUCAGGGACGAAGCAAGUGACGGUACCUGACGAAUAAGGAUCGGCUAACUCCGUGCCAGCAGCCGCGGUAAUACGGAGGAUCCAAGCGUUAUCCGGAUUUAUUGGGUUUAAAGGGUGCGUAGGCGGAUUGAUAAGUUAGAGGUGAAAUGUCCGAGCUUAACUCGGGAACUGCCUCUAAUACUGUUGAUCUAGAGAGUAGAUGC
RNAcentral lists this ribosomal RNA (305 nucleotides) under uncultured bacterium. RNAcentral's name for it is "bacterial SSU rRNA". It matches the Rfam family "Bacterial small subunit ribosomal RNA", at positions 336 to 655 of the family's 1533-position model. The record is from RNAcentral.